Molecule: long non-coding RNA, 2466 nt
Organism: Brassica rapa (field mustard)
Lineage: Eukaryota; Viridiplantae; Streptophyta; Magnoliopsida; Brassicales; Brassicaceae
Source: RefSeq, a predicted model, not a curated record
CAAUUCGGUCGAAGUCGUGACGUCACCUGUCCCGCUUUACAAAAUGCAGCGUUUCAUUUAUUCUGAUUCAUAUUUUGUUUGGGCUUUAGAUUGCAAAUGGGUUUUAGAUGAAGCUCUGAAAAGCCCAUCUCCAAAAUAGUUUAGUUCUGUCUCUAAACGCGUCGUUUUUUAUUUCAAUGGUGGAACCAUUAUUCUUCUCCACCGGCGGGAUGUAGGCUCUAAGUCUAGGGUUUCGAUUCAUCUUCUUCCUCAGACCCUGAUUUUAAUCAGUUUCACCUUCGUCUUCUUAAAGGCCUCCUUGAUUCAAUCAUACACGAUCUACAUUUAUUUCUGCUUCUCUCUUGCAAGGCGGUGGAAAUCUCAGUAUAAAAAGGAAGGACCAAGAAAAACAAAGCAACAACAAUUAACCAAAUAUGGAUAAGCACUGCAAAUGGAACAAGAAGAAACAGAGGCACUCCAGAACCGCAUGAAACUAUAUGUACCUUUCUUACGGGUUUUGAUUGUUGUAAUCUUUCAUCUUUUGAUGAUCUGUAGUGGAUCAUAUCUUUAGUUUUGGAUAGGCUUUGGUGUUAAUUGUUAAAUCGUUUGUUUCUAACAUUGUCUCUCUUCCGAGAUUUGUCCUCUUCUCUUUUUCCCGAGUUACAGUGAUUUUGCAAUUAAUCUGGUUAAUGUUUAGCGAAAAGCUUUUGUUCUAUUUGAGACCGUUAAGAUUUAUUUCUUAGAGUCACAGAAAACCACUGCUCUACUUUGUCUUCUUCGCCUGUGACCUUUUAACCUUUCAACUUCGUAGGAGUUCGUCGCGUUGGAGCAUCUCAGAAUCACAGAUCGUUGUUUGAUUAUAUCUACUGCUGUCAGGCCGCGAGUAUGUGGAGCUUGCAGUGUCAUGACACUUAGCUUCUCACUUUUUCACACUUAGUUUCAAAAAGAAAAAAAAAAGAAGAUUGUGUUUAGCGGUUCAAAUGAAGUCUUGACUUCUCGGAUGAGUUGAUAAGGAAGAUGGAGCUUAGAAGCCUCCGUAGUUACUGAGCCUGCUGUUAGUAGACGACCCUAUUGUUGGGGAAUUGUCCCGAGUGUACGCACUGCAAUGAUUUUAUAUAUGUUAGAUUUUUAUAGGAACAUGCUCAUUAGCAUGAAAAUAAUGAGAAGGGGACAAAUAUAAAUUCAAGUGUAAAUUCCGGUAGAAAAUAUAUUAUAUUAUCUCCACUGAAGAAAUAAAAUAAUAUCAUAUUGUUGGUGGAAGUUAUGUAAAUGUGUUUUGUUUACUUCUCAGGAAAUAAAAUAAAAACUAUAGGACAACGUUUCUGCAAAAAUAAUUCGAUCUUUUGUAUCCUAACAGUUAAAAAAAAAUUUUGCCAAUGAUUGGAAAAGAAAAGUGUAAAAUUGUUGUUAAUUUUCAAAAUUUUAAAAUAGCUUUUAUUUAAUUAAGUAAAAGAAUCCAAAAAAAGAAAGUUAUAAAUUUUCCCUCUAAAUUCUGGGUUGAUCCGGUGAGUUGUUUGGUUGUUUCAAUUUUGUUUAUUAUUAAGAUCAAAUCUACUAAGACAUUUAUCCAUCAUUUUCUCUCAUUAGUAUUUAAUUUUCAAUGCAAACAAAUUUUUAAUAUCGUUUUCAGUCAGCAGAUGAUAAUAUAAUGAAAAUACAUAAUUUAUACAAAAUAGUUUGAUGUUUUUUUCCCUAACAUUUACAUAAUAUAGUUUGUCAAUGAUUUGAAAAGAGAAAGUGCAAAAUUGUUGUUGAUUUCCUAAAAUCAUAAGUCUUUUAAACAUUACUCACGAAACGAAGGAGAAGAACUCAAAUAAUUUUAUUUUUAAAUAUAUAUAACCCUAAGACCAUACCAAAAUGUUAUGAUUCUAUCAUGUUUUUAUGAGAUGCGAAAAUAAAUUAUCUUAUUUUCUAAUGACAUUCAGUUUAAUUUAUCAUAUACAAGUGAAAUUUACCGUGUUUAUAUAUAAGCAUAUAAUAAUACCCGAAGCAACUUUGCAUGUUGUUGUUCCUAAGGAAAUAUUUUUAGAAAGAAGCUGAUUGGUUUGAGAUAUAUGAUUUCAAAUUAUUCACAAAUGUAAAAAAUAAUUAUGUACAUUAGUUGCGUUACAAAAGUUUUAAUGUUAUUUGUAUAGUAGAAAAUUUAUUACACAAUCUGAAUAAUUUAUAGGAUAAAACAUAUUAGUGGAUUUAUGUCUGUCACAUAUAAAAAAUAAUUAUUUUUAUAAUAAUUCGUCUAUGUCUUCUUCUCCAACACAUAUUAAUAUUAUAUAUAUAUAUAUAUAUAUAUAUAUAUAUAUAUAUGUAUACACAUACUAAUGUGCACAUUUCUAUAAUAGUAAAUAAUGAUUACUAUAUAUUAUAAAACUAAACAUUUCAAACUAAAAUAAAUAUUAAAAAGAUAAUGUUAUUUAUCAAAGAAUAGUGAAGGUAACUGUCAUUUUAAUUCAACAAUUAUUCACCAUCAAAAUAAAAACAGAAUAAAAC